CUUUUCAAGUGAGAACAAAACGGGGCCCGGCUUAGAAUUGUAGAGAAAUAUCCAGGAUAUUUAGGAAGACUAAAACCGAAACAUCAUUAUUUGGUUCAUUACCCAGCUCAAAUUCUAGAGAUGGGGCCCCUGCUGCUGUCCAAACGGACAGCAAGGCCAGAAUCCUAACACAGAG
Molecule: long non-coding RNA, 175 nt
Organism: Eurytemora carolleeae
Lineage: Eukaryota; Metazoa; Arthropoda; Copepoda; Calanoida; Temoridae
Exons: 3
Source: RefSeq, a predicted model, not a curated record